This 589-nucleotide ribosomal RNA is filed under the name uncultured fungus. RNAcentral describes it as "eukaryotic LSU rRNA". It matches the Rfam family "Eukaryotic large subunit ribosomal RNA", at positions 62 to 665 of the family's 3401-position model. Lineage: Eukaryota; Fungi. The record is from RNAcentral.
AAAACAACAGGGAUUGCCUCAGUAACGGCGAGUGAAGCGGCACAAGCUCAAAUUUGAAAUCUGGCUCUUUCAGGGUCCGAGUUGUAAUUUGUAGAAGAUGCUUGGGGUGUGGCACCGGUCUAAGUCCCUUGGAACAGGGCGUCAUAGAGGGUGAGAAUCCCGUAUGUGACUGGAUGCCUACGCCCAUGUCAAGCUCUUUCGACGAGUCGAGUUGUUUGGGAAUGCAGCUCUAAAUGGGUGGUAUAUUUCAUCUAAAGCUAAAUAUUGGCCAGAGACCGAUAGCGCACAAGUAGAGUGAUCGAAAGAUGAAAAGCACUUUGGAAAGAGAGUUAAACAGUACGUGAAAUUGUUAAAAGGGAAGCGCUUGCAAUCAGACUUGCGCCUGGUCGAUCAUCCGAACUUCUGUCCGGUGCACUCGAUCAGGCUCAGGCCAGCAUCGGUUUGGGCGGUUGGAUAAAGGCCUUGGGAAUGUGGCCCCUCUCGGGGGGUGUUAUAGCCCUCGGUGCAAUGCAGCCAGCCUGGACCGAGGACCGCGCUUCGGCUAGGAUGCUGGCGUAAUGGUUGUAAGCGACCCGUCUGAAAACACGGA